GGGAAAUGGUUGAAAAGACCCGGCCUUCGUGGCCUCCUCAACGGGGAGUAGGUUCAUUGGAACCGAACCUCGAGAAACAAAUCAUCGUGUUCAUUUGUGAUUGAUCAUUACUCUACAAUUUGAUUCUUUCUCUCCCUGUCUCUAAGUUCUCUUGCUCACAAUCUUUUGAGUUAGCUCCCAAAGUUAUCUGUAUUGAUUGAGCAACUCAUAGCAAUAGCAACUCUCUUCCGCACUCCAUAUUCAUUAUAAUUUGUUUCUAAUCCUAACCCCGGGUGAAGUUCGUGUUCAAAGUCUAUAAUUUACAGGGUUCAGGGUUUAUAGGUUUCGCCUCUAUGCGACUUUCAAUGCAGCGCAGGAGGACGAUGAUGACGCUUAGCAGGAUGGCUUAGGUUCUAGCGCCUCAGGUUAGAGGAACAUCUACCUGCAAGGUCCCGCGAGUCUCACUCAGCGUCCCAUACUUCGAGACGAGCGGCCGCUGAUUCGG
RNAcentral lists this long non-coding RNA (484 nucleotides) under Zea mays. Its description in RNAcentral is "drought responsive lncRNA". The record is from RNAcentral. Lineage: Eukaryota; Viridiplantae; Streptophyta; Magnoliopsida; Poales; Poaceae.